UUGUAUUUGAGAGUUUGAUCCUGGCUCAGGAUGAACGCUGGCGGCGUGCCUAACACAUGCAAGUUGAGCGAUUUACUUCGGUAAAGAGCGGCGGACGGGUGAGUAACGCGUGGGUAACCUACCCUGUACA
This 130-nucleotide ribosomal RNA is filed under the name Clostridioides difficile. RNAcentral describes it as "partial 16S ribosomal RNA". It matches the Rfam family "Bacterial small subunit ribosomal RNA", at positions 1 to 137 of the family's 1533-position model. The record is from RNAcentral. Lineage: Bacteria; Bacillati; Bacillota; Clostridia; Peptostreptococcales; Peptostreptococcaceae.